RNAcentral lists this ribosomal RNA (118 nucleotides) under Microtus ochrogaster (prairie vole). Lineage: Eukaryota; Metazoa; Chordata; Mammalia; Rodentia; Cricetidae. The record is from RNAcentral.
GUCUACGGCCAUACCACCCUGAACGCACCCGAUCCCGUCUGAUCUCGGAAGCUAAGCAGGGUGGGGCCUGGUUAGUACUUGGAUGGGAGAUACUAUCUUAUACCUGUCAGAAUGGAUA